UACGUAGGUGGCAAGCGUUAUCCGGAUUUGCUGGGUGUAAAGGGCGCGUAGGCGGGAUGGCAAGUCAGAUGUGAAAUCCAGGGGCUCAACCCCUGAACUGCAUUUGAAACUGUCGUUCUUGAGUACUGGAGAGGUUGACGGAAUUCCUAGUGUAGCGGUGAAAUGCGUAGAUAUUAGGAGGAACACCAGUGGCGAAGGCGGUCAACUGGACAGCAACUGACGCUGAGGCGCGAAAGCGUGGGGAGCAAACAGG
This 253-nucleotide ribosomal RNA is filed under the name uncultured bacterium. Its description in RNAcentral is "partial 16S ribosomal RNA". It matches the Rfam family "Bacterial small subunit ribosomal RNA", at positions 524 to 776 of the family's 1533-position model. The record is from RNAcentral.